CCUACGGGUGGCAGCAGUGAGGAAUAUUGGUCAAUGGACGAAAGUCUGAACCAGCCAUGCCGCGUGCAGGAAGACGGCCCUAUGGGUUGUAAACUUCUUUUGUACGGGGGUAAAUCCCGAUACGUGUAUCGGGUUGAAAGUAUCGUGCGAAUAAGGAUCGGCUAACUCCGUGCCAGCAGCCGCGGUAAUACGGAGGAUUCGAGCGUUAUCCGGAUUUAUUGGGUUUAAAGGGUGCGUAGGCGGGUCGAUAAGUUAGCGGUGAAAUUCGGGGGCUCAACUCCGGAACGGCCGUUGAUACUGUGGGGCUUGAGUGGAGUUGCGGUAGGCGGAAUGCAUGGUGUAGCGGGGAAAUGCAUAGAGAUCAUACAGAACACCGAUUGCGAAGGCAGCGUACCAGACUACGACUGACGCUGAGGCACGAAAGCGUGGGGAGCAAACAGGAUUAGAUACCCCUGUAGUC
Molecule: ribosomal RNA, 460 nt
Filed under: uncultured bacterium
Lineage: Bacteria
Description: partial 16S ribosomal RNA
Rfam family: Bacterial small subunit ribosomal RNA
Source: RNAcentral